AGUGAACGCUGGCGGUAGGCCUAACACAUGCAAGUCGAACGGCAGCACAGUAAGAGCUUGCUCUUACGGGUGGCGAGUGGCGGACGGGUGAGGAAUACAUCGGAAUCUACUUUUUCGUGGGGGCUAACGUAGGAAAACUUACGCUAAUACCGCAUACAACCUCCGGGUGAAAGCAGGCAUCUUCGGACCUGGCUGGUUUAAAUAAUCGCUGAUCGGAUCAGCUAGUUGGCGGGGUAAAGGCCCACCAAGCCGACAAUCCGUAGCUGGUCUGAGGGGAUGAUCAGGCACACUGGAACAGAGACACGGUACAGACUCCUACAGGAGGCAGCAGUGGGGACUAUUGGACAAUGGGCGAAAGCCUGAUCCAGCCAUACCGCGUAGGUGAAGAAGGACUUCGGGUUGUAAAACCCUGUUGUUGGGAAAGAAAAGCAGCAGGUUAAUACCCCGCUGUACUGACGGUACCCAAAGAAUAAGCACCGGCUAACUUCGUG
RNAcentral lists this ribosomal RNA (491 nucleotides) under uncultured bacterium. RNAcentral describes it as "partial 16S ribosomal RNA". It matches the Rfam family "Bacterial small subunit ribosomal RNA", at positions 29 to 507 of the family's 1533-position model. The record is from RNAcentral.